UACGGAGGAUGCAAGCGUUAUCCGGAAUGAUUGGGCGUAAAGCGUCCGCAGGUGGCUGUGUAAGUCUGCUGUUAAAGAGUCAUGCUCAACAUGAUAAGAGCAGUGGAAACUACACGGCUAGAGUGCGUUCGGGGCAGAGGGAAUUCCUGGUGUAGCGGUGAAAUGCGUAGAGAUCAGGAAGAACACCGGUGGCGAAAGCGCUCUGCUAGGCCGCAACUGACACUGAGGGACGAAAGCUAGGGGAGCGAAUGGG
Molecule: ribosomal RNA, 253 nt
Filed under: uncultured bacterium
Lineage: Bacteria
Description: partial 16S ribosomal RNA
Rfam family: Bacterial small subunit ribosomal RNA
Source: RNAcentral